CGCCCUCCCUCGGCCAUUGACUCUUGGCAGUUCUGUGCCAAGCGUGGCCAUCAGUUCAUGAAGGGCUGGGGUGCCAACCUUGGUCGUGAUCUCAGGGAGCAUAAAAAGGCCAUGCGUAGCACCAUGCAGGAACUUGACCUCAGGGUUGAUGCCUCUGGCCUCUCCCCCGAUGGGUGGCACUCCCAAUACGAUCUAGAGGAUCAACUCUCUGUCAUCUACACCGAUGAGCAGGCCUAUUGGCGUCUACGUGUCUCCCAGAAAUGGGUCCUGAAGGGCGACACUAACACGGCUUACUUUCAGGCCAUUGCUAAUGGUCGUCGUAGACACAACACCAUCUCUCUUCUCUGGGAUGGCGAGAUGCUCUUACAAUUCCCUAGCGACAUUAGGGCGCACGUUGACGGAUUCUACAAGAGCCUCUUCUCCUCCCCCCCCCCCUUGAAGUGUGCUAUCGCUCCCAUGACUGCUAGACCAGCCCCCAGCUGGUUUCUAAGGAGAAUGCCCCUCACGGCCCCAUUCUCUAAGGGCGAGGUCUGGGCUGCCAUCCGUGGUAUGAAUCCCUCCUCGGCCCCGGGCCCCGACGGCCUCCCGGUCAAAUUCUUUCAGACAUUCUGGAAUGUAAUCAGACCGGAGAUCAUGGCCAUCUUUGACAAGUUCUAUGUAGGCUCCAUCGACCCCGGCCGGCUCAACAAUGGGAUCAUUUCUCUCAUCCCCAAAGUGCCUGGGGCUUCCGACAUCCACCAGUUCCUCCCAAUCACGGUGAUCAAUGUGAUCUUUCGGAUCCUAGAAAAAGGGUGCGCCGGUGACCCUGCUUGUGGAUCACAUUACUCAUCCCAACCAGUCCGCCUUCAUCCAAGGGCGGUAUAUCCUGGAUGGGGUGCUUGUCCUCCACGGGGUGCUCCAUGA
RNAcentral lists this ribosomal RNA (903 nucleotides) under Triticum aestivum (bread wheat). Its description in RNAcentral is "partial small subunit ribosomal RNA". The record is from RNAcentral. Lineage: Eukaryota; Viridiplantae; Streptophyta; Magnoliopsida; Poales; Poaceae.